RNAcentral lists this transfer RNA (74 nucleotides) under Fulvia fulva CBS 131901. RNAcentral's name for it is "tRNA-Trp (CCA) (tRNA-Trp-CCA-1-1)". It matches the Rfam family "tRNA". From Rfam's summary of the family: Transfer RNA (tRNA) molecules are approximately 80 nucleotides in length. Their secondary structure includes four short double-helical elements and three loops (D, anti-codon, and T loops). Further hydrogen bonds mediate the characteristic L-shaped molecular structure. tRNAs have two regions of fundamental functional importance: the anti-codon, which is responsible for specific mRNA codon recognition, and the 3' end, to which the tRNAs corresponding amino acid is attached (by aminoacyl-tRNA synthetases). tRNAs cope with the degeneracy of the genetic code in two manners: having more than one tRNA (with a specific anti-codon) for a particular amino acid; and 'wobble' base-pairing, i.e. permitting non-standard base-pairing at the 3rd anti-codon position. Lineage: Eukaryota; Fungi; Ascomycota; Dothideomycetes; Mycosphaerellales; Mycosphaerellaceae. The record is from RNAcentral.
GGGGAUGUGGUCCAAUCGGUAAGAUCAUCAGCGCCCACAGCUGAUGGAUGCGAGUUCGAGUCUUGCCUUCUCCA